UCCCUGGUGGCUCAGAUGGUAAAGAAUUUGCCUGCAAUGCAAGAGACCUGGAUUCAAUCUCUGGGCCAGGAAG
Molecule: transfer RNA, 73 nt
Filed under: Capra hircus (goat)
Lineage: Eukaryota; Metazoa; Chordata; Mammalia; Artiodactyla; Bovidae
Also listed under: 1 other name
Rfam family: tRNA
About the family: Transfer RNA (tRNA) molecules are approximately 80 nucleotides in length. Their secondary structure includes four short double-helical elements and three loops (D, anti-codon, and T loops).
Source: Rfam by way of RNAcentral